AAUAAUAAGUCAAUUGUUAUUAUUCAUAUUAAUUUAUUUUAAAGUUUUUAAUUUUAUAUUAGUUUAUUUUUAAAAGUAUAUGUAAAAAUUUUAGGAAUAGUUAAUAAUAAUUUAUAAUUUUGAUUAGAUUAUUUUGUUAGUGCUAAAUAAUGGGUGUGGAAAAAGUGGAAAAUUUAUUAUAAAAAAGUAUAAAAAAUUAAAUAAACUACUUAGUCAGAAAUGGAUGCCAGCCGUUGCGGUAAUAUCCAUGCUUUUAAAUAUUAUACAGUUAUCAUUAAUAAUUGAUACAAUAAACCGAUAAUCAAUAAAAUUAAGAAAAAAAAUAUUUGUUUUUAAACACCAUCAGGUAUAUGCAAAUAUUAAAUUAUAGUAAUUAUAAAUUAAAUUAUGUUAUAUUUAUUCGAAUUGUUAAAAAAAUAAAAUUAUAAAAUUUUGACUCCAUGAAAAGGAUAAUGUAUGAAAUUAUCAAUUUUAUAAUCAAAAUUAAUAUUUUAUAUUAAAUAAGUAAAAUUAGAUAAAAAAUAAAAUUAAAAAGGUAUUGUUGCCCACCAAUUUUUAUAAUAAAAAUAACGUGCAGUAAUUAAUAUAUUUAUAAAA
Molecule: ribosomal RNA, 597 nt
Filed under: Vickermania ingenoplastis
Lineage: Eukaryota; Euglenozoa; Kinetoplastea; Trypanosomatida; Trypanosomatidae
Description: 9S ribosomal RNA
Rfam family: Trypanosomatid mitochondrial small subunit ribosomal RNA
Source: RNAcentral